GUGCUCGCUUCGACAACACAUAUACUAAAAUUAGAACAAUACAGAGAAGAUUAACAUGUCCCCUGCGCAAGGAUGACACGCAAAUUCGUGGGAAAAAAUUGCCCUCA
This is a small nuclear RNA of Ochotona curzoniae (black-lipped pika), 107 nucleotides long. NCBI's taxonomy places the organism in Eukaryota, Metazoa, Chordata, Mammalia, Lagomorpha, Ochotonidae. The record is from RefSeq and is a predicted model, not a curated record.